Molecule: ribosomal RNA, 911 nt
Filed under: uncultured bacterium
Lineage: Bacteria
Description: bacterial SSU rRNA
Rfam family: Bacterial small subunit ribosomal RNA
Source: RNAcentral
UAGAGUUUGAUUAUGGCUCAGGAUGAACGCUAGCGGCAGGCUUAAUACAUGCAAGUCGAGGGGCAGCAGGGGUAGCAAUACUCGCUGGCGACCGGCAAACGGGUGAGGAACAUGUACGCAACCUUCCUUUAACUGGAGGAUAGCCCCUCGAAAGAGGGAUUAAUACUCCGUAACAUAAUGAAGUGGCAUCACUUUAUUAUUAUAGCUCCGGCGGUUAAAGAUGGGCGUGCAACUGAUUAGAUAGUUGGCGGGGUAACGGCCCACCAAGUCUGCGAUCAGUAACUGGUGUGAGAGCACGACCAGUCACACGGGCACUGAGACACGGGCCCGACUCCUACGGGAGGCAGCAGUAAGGAAUAUUGGUCAAUGGACGCAAGUCUGAACCAGCCAUGCCGCGUGGAGGAUUAAGGCCCUCUGGGUUGUAAACUCCUUUUAUCUGGGAAGAAAUGUGUUUUUUCUAAGACACUUGACGGUACCAGAGGAAUAAGCACCGGCUAACUCCGUGCCAGCAGCCGCGGUAAUACGGAGGGUGCAAGCGUUAUCCGGAUUCACUGGGUUUAAAGGGUGCGUAGGCGGGCAGAUAAGUCAGUGGUGAAAUCUUCGAGCUUAACUCGGAAACUGCCGUUGAUACUAUUUGUCUUGAAUAUUGUGGAGGUAAGCGGAAUAUGUCAUGUAGCGGUGAAAUGCUUAGAUAUGACAUAGAACACCAAUUGCGAAGGCAGCUUACUACACAAUGAUUGACGCUGAGGCACGAAAGCGUGGGGAUCAAACAGGAUUAGAUACCCUGGUAGUCCACGCCCUAAACGAUGAUUACUCGACAUACGCGAUAUACUGUGUGUGUCUGAGCGAAAGCAUUAAGUAAUCCACCUGGGAAGUACGAUCGCAAGAUUGAAACUCAAAGGAAUUGACGG